AAAAACUUAGUUAAACCCCAUAACAUUAACUUGUCAAGUUAGAAUUACCCUGCUUGGGUCGUUUUUG
Molecule: transfer RNA, 67 nt
Filed under: Polyphylla laticollis
Lineage: Eukaryota; Metazoa; Arthropoda; Insecta; Coleoptera; Scarabaeidae
Also listed under: 1 other name
Description: tRNA-Asp
Source: RNAcentral